AGUAUCUGACGUGCAUGCGAAGUAGAGGGUCUGUACAUCUAGGCCUCUGCAAAGGUUUAUAUCAGAUUAUUUGAGAUUUGAUCUCUGGCUCCACUGCUAUUCAGGUAAGCAUUUGAUCUUUAAUCAUGUAGAUGAAUAGAAAAAUUUUUAGAUGCAACCUGGGCCUUCCAAAGAGAAAUAGUUUUCCUUCCCUUCAAGGGAGUUGUGCACUGAUUUCAUAGAGCUUUCAAAGAGUAAUCUUCACCAAUAUCUUCCACAUCCUCCCAAGCAUCAAAGAAAAGAUGUCAAGCAUCAAAAGAGGAACUCUUCAUCGACUUUCUCCAAG
This 325-nucleotide long non-coding RNA is filed under the name Elaeis guineensis (African oil palm). RNAcentral describes it as "long non-coding RNA (EGUI_LNC020377)". Lineage: Eukaryota; Viridiplantae; Streptophyta; Magnoliopsida; Arecales; Arecaceae. The record is from RNAcentral.